UGCCGGCUUUCCAUCAGCCGGGGUUACUUAGAGGCACACCUUCAUUGCCGGAAGUGCGGUCGGGUUCCCCCACCAAUCCAUGGCAGACAAAGCGGAUCAAAAGCUCUUGGCAGGGCGUUGAUCCAUCAUCCGCGCUGUACGAGCGCAUGCGUGGU
Regulatory RNA element from Rhizobium sp. Root1212, 155 nucleotides. It matches the Rfam family "speF leader". From Rfam's summary of the family: This family is a putative regulatory RNA structure that is found upstream of the speF gene encoding ornithine decarboxylase in Agrobacterium tumefaciens and other alpha-proteobacteria. Lineage: Bacteria; Pseudomonadati; Pseudomonadota; Alphaproteobacteria; Hyphomicrobiales; Rhizobiaceae. The record is from Rfam.